UUGCACGCUGGCGGCAUGCUUUACCCCUGCAAGUCGCACGGUAACAGGCCGCAAGGUGCUGACGAGUGGCGACCGGGUGAGUAAUGCAUCGGAACGUGCCCAGUCGUGGGGGAUAACUACUCGAAAGAGUAGCUAAUACCGCAUACGAUCUAUGGAUGAAAGCGGGGGACCGUAAGGCCUCGCGCGAUUGGAGCGGCCGAUGUCAGAUUAGGUAGUUGGUGGGGUAAAGGCUCACCAAGCCAACGAUCUGUAGCUGGUCUGAGAGGACGACCAGCCACACUGGGACUGAGACACGGCCCAGACUCCUACGGGAGGCAGCAGUGGGGAAUUUUGGACAAUGGGCGCAAGCCUGAUCCAGCAAUGCCGCGUGCAGGAAGAAGGCCUUCGGGUUGUAAACUGCUUUUGUACGGAACGAAACGGCUCUGGUUAAUACCCGGGGCUAAUGACGGUACCGGAAGAAUAAGCACCGGCUAACUACGUG
RNAcentral lists this ribosomal RNA (481 nucleotides) under uncultured bacterium. RNAcentral describes it as "partial 16S ribosomal RNA". It matches the Rfam family "Bacterial small subunit ribosomal RNA", at positions 30 to 507 of the family's 1533-position model. The record is from RNAcentral.